RNAcentral lists this ribosomal RNA (460 nucleotides) under uncultured bacterium. RNAcentral's name for it is "partial 16S ribosomal RNA". It matches the Rfam family "Bacterial small subunit ribosomal RNA", at positions 338 to 795 of the family's 1533-position model. The record is from RNAcentral.
CCUACGGGAGGCAGCAGUGAGGAAUAUUGGUCAAUGGGCUUACGCCUGAACCAGCCAAGUCGCGUGAGGGAAGACUGCCCUAUGGGUUGUAAACCUCUUUUGUAAUGGAGCAACGCCGGCUACGUGUAGCCGGACUGAGAGUACCUGACGAAAAAGCAUCGGCAAACUCCGUGCCAGCAGCCGCCGUAAUACGGAGGAUGCGAGCGUUAUCGGGCUUUAUUGGGUUUAAGGGGUGCGUAGGCGGAAUGCAAAGUCAGCGGUAAAAUCGCGGGGCUCAACCGCGCUUCGCCGUUGAAACUGGCGUGCUUGAGUGGGCGAGAAGUAUGCGGAAUGCGUGGUGUAGCGGUGGAAUGCAAAGAUAUCACGAAGAACUCCGAUUGCGAAGGCAGCACACCGGCGCCCAACUGACGCUGAAGCACGAAAGCGUGGGUAUCGAACAGGAUUAGAUACCCGGGUAGUC